This 448-nucleotide ribosomal RNA is filed under the name uncultured bacterium. RNAcentral describes it as "SSU rRNA". It matches the Rfam family "Bacterial small subunit ribosomal RNA", at positions 26 to 518 of the family's 1533-position model. The record is from RNAcentral.
AGAGCGAACGCUGGCGGCAGGCUUAACACAUGCAAGUCGAGCGGGCGUAGCAAUACGUCAGCGGCAGACGGGUGAGUAACGCGUGGGAACAUACCUUUUGGUUCGGAACAACACAGGGAAACUUGUGCUAAUACCGGAUAAGCCCUUACGGGGAAAGAUUUAUCGCCGAAAGAUUGGCCCGCGUCUGAUUAGCUAGUUGGUGAGGUAAUGGCUCACCAAGGCGACGAUCAGUAGCUGGUCUGAGAGGAUGAUCAGCCACAUUGGGACUGAGACACGGCCCAAACUCCUACGGGAGGCAGCAGUGGGGAAUAUUGGACAAUGGGCACAAGCCUGAUCCAGCCAUGCCGCGUGAGUGAUGAAGGCCCUAGGGUUGUAAAGCUCUUUUGUGCGGGAAGAUAAUGACGGUACCGCAAGAAUAAGCCCCGGCUAACUUCGUGCCAGCAGCCGC